RNAcentral lists this ribosomal RNA (460 nucleotides) under uncultured bacterium. Its description in RNAcentral is "bacterial SSU rRNA". It matches the Rfam family "Bacterial small subunit ribosomal RNA", at positions 28 to 524 of the family's 1533-position model. The record is from RNAcentral.
GACAAACGCUGGCGGCGUGCAUAAAACAUGCAAGUCGAACGGUCGGUUCGCCGGCCGUGGCAGACGGCUGAGUAACGCGUAGGAACCUACCCCGGUGUGGGGGACAAGCCAUCGAAAGGUGGUCUAAUACCGCAUACGGUCCCGGCGCGAGUCGGGAAGAAAGCCGCAAGGUGCACUGGGAGGGGCCUGCGUCCGAUUAGCUGGUUGGUGGGGUACCGGCCUACCAAGGCGACGAUCGGUAGCUGGUCUGAGAGGAUGACCAGCCAGACUGGGACUGGGACACGGCCCAGACUCCUACGGGAGGCAGCAGUUAGGAAUUUUGGGCAAUGGCCGCAAGGCUGACCCAGCAACGCCGCGUGGGGACGAGGGCUCUCGGGUUGUAAACCCCUUUUCCCAGGACGAUGAUGACGGUACCUGGGGAAGAAGCCCCGGCUAACUACGUGCCAGCCGCCGCCGUAAG